GACGAACGCUGGUGGCGUGCUUAACACAUGCAAGUCGAACGAUGAAGCUGGAGCUUGCUCCGGUGGAUUAGUGGCGAACGGGUGAGUAACACGUCAGCAAUCUGCCCUUGACUCUGGGAUAACUGCGGGAAACUGUAGCUAAUACCGGAUACUUUCACUGGAAGGCAUCUUCUGGUGAAGAAAGAAUUUCGGUCAAGGAUGAGCUCGCGGCCUAUCAGCUUGUGGGUGAGGUAACGGCUCACCAAGGCGACGACGGGUAGCCGACCUGAGAGGGUGACCGGCCACACUGGGACUGAGACACGGCCCAGACUCCUACGGGAGGCAGCAGUGGGGAAUAUUGCACAAUGGGCGCAAGCCUGAUGCAGCAACGCCGCGUGAGGGAUGAAGGCCUUCGGGUUGUAAACCUCUUUUAGCAGGGAAGAAGCGAAAGUGACGGUACCUGCAGAAAAAGCACCGGCUAACUACGUGCCAGCAGCCGCCGUAA
RNAcentral lists this ribosomal RNA (484 nucleotides) under uncultured bacterium. RNAcentral describes it as "partial 16S ribosomal RNA". It matches the Rfam family "Bacterial small subunit ribosomal RNA", at positions 28 to 523 of the family's 1533-position model. The record is from RNAcentral.